GAUGAACGCUGGCGGCGUGCCUAAUACAUGCAAGUCGAGCGAACGGACGAGAAGCUUGCUUUUCUGAUGUUAGCGGCGGACGGGUGAGUAACACGUGGAUAACCUACCUAUAAGACUGGGAUAACUUCGGGAAACCGGAGCUAAUACCGGAUAAUAUUUUGAACCGCAUGGUUCAAAAGUGAAAGACGGUCUUGCUGUCACUUAUAGAUGGAUCCGCGCUGCAUUAGCUAGUUGGUAAGGUAACGGCUUACCAAGGCAACGAUGCAUAGCCGACCUGAGAGGGUGAUCGGCCACACUGGAACUGAGACACGGUCCAGACUCCUACGGGAGGCAGCAGUAGGGAAUCUUCCGCAAUGGGCGAAAGCCUGACGGAGCAACGCCGCGUGAGUGAUGAAGGUCUUCGGAUCGUAAAACUCUGUUAUUAGGGACGAACAUAUGUGUAAGUAACUGUGCACAUCUUGACGGUACCUAAUCAGAAAGCCACGGCUAACUACGUG
Molecule: ribosomal RNA, 497 nt
Filed under: uncultured bacterium
Lineage: Bacteria
Description: partial 16S ribosomal RNA
Rfam family: Bacterial small subunit ribosomal RNA
Source: RNAcentral